AAAUUCAACCAAGCGCGGGUAAAC
Molecule: non-coding RNA, 24 nt
Filed under: Arabidopsis thaliana (thale cress)
Lineage: Eukaryota; Viridiplantae; Streptophyta; Magnoliopsida; Brassicales; Brassicaceae
Also listed under: 2 other names
Source: RNAcentral